Molecule: ribosomal RNA, 492 nt
Filed under: uncultured bacterium
Lineage: Bacteria
Description: partial 16S ribosomal RNA
Rfam family: Bacterial small subunit ribosomal RNA
Source: RNAcentral
AGUGAACGCUGGCGGUAGGCCUAACACAUGCAAGUCGAACGGCAGCACAGUAAGAGCUUGCUCUUACGGGUGGCGAGUGGCGGACGGGUGAGGAAUACAUCGGAAUCUACUUUUUCGUGGGGGAUAACGUAGGGAAACUUACGCUAAUACCGCAUACGACCCACGGGUGAAAGCAGGGGAUCUUCGGACCUUGCGCGAUUGAAUGAGCCGAUGUCGGAUUAGCUAGUUGGCGGGGUAAAGGCCCACCAAGGCGACGAUCCGUAGCUGGUCUGAGAGGGUGAUCAGCCACACUGGAACUGAGACACGGUCCAGACUCCUACGGGAGGCAGCAGUGGGGAAUAUUGGACAAUGGGCGCAAGCCUGAUCCAGCCAUACCGCGUGGGUGAAGAAGGCCUUCGGGUUGUAAAGCCCUUUUGUUGGGAAAGAAAAGCAGCAGGUUAAUACCCCGCUGUUCUGACGGUACCCAAAGAAUAAGCACCGGCUAACUUCGUG